GCACAAGCGGUGGAGCAUGUGGUUUAAUUCGAAGCAACGCGAAGAACCUUACCAGGUCUUGACAUCCCUGACAACCCGAGAGAUCGGGCGUUCCCUUCGGGGGACAAGGUGACAGGUGGUGCAUGGUUGUCGUCAGCUCGUGUCGUGAGAUGUUGGGUUAAGUCCCGCAACGAGCGCAACCCUCGACCUUAGUUGCCAGCAUUCAGUUGGGCACUCUAAGGUGACUGCCGGCUAAAAGUCGGAGGAAGGUGGGGAUGACGUCAAAUCAUCAUGCCCCUUAUGACCUGGGCUACACACGUGCUACAAUGGGCGGUACAAAGGGUCGCGAACCCGCGAGGGGGAGCCAAUCCCAAAAAGCCGCUCUCAGUUCGGAUUGCAGGCUGCAACUCGCCUGCAUGAAGUCGGAAUCGCUAGUAAUCGCAGGUCAGCAUACUGCGGUGAAUACGUUCCCGGGCCUU
RNAcentral lists this ribosomal RNA (458 nucleotides) under uncultured Anoxybacillus sp. RNAcentral describes it as "bacterial SSU rRNA". It matches the Rfam family "Bacterial small subunit ribosomal RNA", at positions 923 to 1382 of the family's 1533-position model. The record is from RNAcentral. Lineage: Bacteria; Bacillati; Bacillota; Bacilli; Caryophanales; Anoxybacillaceae.